RNAcentral lists this ribosomal RNA (497 nucleotides) under uncultured bacterium. Its description in RNAcentral is "partial 16S ribosomal RNA". It matches the Rfam family "Bacterial small subunit ribosomal RNA", at positions 28 to 507 of the family's 1533-position model. The record is from RNAcentral.
GAUGAACGCUGGCGGCGUGCCUAAUACAUGCAAGUCGAGCGAACGGACGAGAAGCUUGCUUUUCUGAUGUUAGCGGCGGACGGGUGAGUAACACGUGGAUAACCUACCUAUAAGACUGGGAUAACUUCGGGAAACCGGAGCUAAUACCGGAUAAUAUUUUGAACCGCAUGGUUCAAAAGUGAAAGACGGUCUUGCUGUCACUUAUAGAUGGAUCCGCGCUGCAUUAGCUAGUUGUUAAGGUAACGGCUUACCAAGGCAACGAUGCAUAGCCGACGGGAGAGGGUGGUCGGCCACACUGGAAGUGAGACACGGACCAGGCUACUACGGGAGGCAGCAGUAGGGAACCUUCCGCAACGGGGGAAAGCAUGACGGAGCAGCGCCGCGUGAGUGAUGAAGGUCUUCGGAGCGUAAUACUCUGUUAUUAGGGAAGAACAUAUGUGUAAGUAACUGUGCACAUCUUGACGGUACCUAAUCAGAAAGCCCCGGCUAACUACGUG